GGAUGCGAUCAUACCAGCACUAAGCACCGGAUCCCAUCAGAACUCCGCAGUUAAGCGUGCUUGGGCGAGAGUAGUACUAGGAUGGGGUGACCUCCUGGGAAGUCCUCGUGUUGCAUCCC
Molecule: ribosomal RNA, 119 nt
Filed under: Helictochloa lusitanica
Lineage: Eukaryota; Viridiplantae; Streptophyta; Magnoliopsida; Poales; Poaceae
Source: RNAcentral